GAUGAAGAACGUAGCGAAAUGCGAUACGUAAUGUGAAUUGCAGAAUUCAGUGAAUCAUCGAAUCUUUGAACGCAUAUUGCGCUCUCUGGUAUUCCGGAGAGCAUGCUUGUUUGAGUAUCAGUAAACACCUCAACUUCCAUAUCUUUUUUUGAAAUGGGAGUUGGACUUGAGUGAUCCCAACGCUUUUCCUCACCGAAAAGUGGCGGGUUACUUGAAAUGCAGGUGCAGCUGGACUUUUCUCUGAGCUAUAAGCAUAUCUAUUUAGUCUGCCUAAAAAACAGAUUAUUACCUUUGCUUCAGCUAACAUAAAGGAGAUUAGUUCUUGUGCUGACUGAUGCAGGAUUCACAAAGACAGCUUCGGCCGACUUUGUAAACUCGAUCUCAAAUCAAGUAAGACUACCCGCUGAACUUAAGCAUAUCAAUAAGCGGAGGA
This 433-nucleotide unclassified non-coding RNA is filed under the name soil metagenome. RNAcentral's name for it is "partial contains 5.8S ribosomal RNA, internal transcribed spacer 2, and large subunit ribosomal RNA". The stretch from base 1 to 120 matches the Rfam family "5.8S ribosomal RNA", at positions 35 to 154 of the family's 154-position model. The record is from RNAcentral.